GGGAUUUUAUCCUUUUCCGGCCACCGCAGACUGCGGUGCCGGCGUCGAAGAUCAGCGACCGGCGUGGUGGCCGAUGACCGGCCGAUGGCCGGACUGAACGCCAGACGACGGGGAAGGGGAGAGCUUUUUGAAGGUUUUUUUGUUUUGUUUUGUUUUUUUUUGAAGAAGGCUUAAAAUGAAUUUUUUUUGGGAGUUAGUGGCUUAAAUAGCCUAGUGAAACGACGCCGUUUCACAAGGCCUCCAAAGGUGCUAAAACGACGCCGUUUUGGGGAGGUCGACCUGACUCCGACUCGACCCAGCCUAGGAUCCGCGUGUUUUUGAGCGGAGGGUUUUAGAGGAGAAGGGGAAAUUUCCCUUCCAACCCUUCUAUGUAAUUCGCGCGCUCAAUCAAGUCCACCAGUCUUCAAUUAUUUGCGAUUUUAUCCCAGAUUUUUGCCUACAGUUCAAUUUAGCCCUUUUUUUUCUUUUCUUUAUUUUUAAUUAAUAAUGUAAUUA
This 495-nucleotide long non-coding RNA is filed under the name Gossypium raimondii (Peruvian cotton). RNAcentral's name for it is "long non-coding RNA (GRAI_LNC004010)". Lineage: Eukaryota; Viridiplantae; Streptophyta; Magnoliopsida; Malvales; Malvaceae. The record is from RNAcentral.